UACGGAGGGUGCAAGCGUUAAUCGGAAUUACUGGGCGUAAAGCGCACGCAGGUGGCUGAGUCAGUCGAUUGUGAAAGCCCUGGGCUUAACCUGGGAAUUGCAGUCGAUACUACUCAGCUAGAGUAUGGGAGAGGGCAGUGGAAUUCCCGGUGUAGCGGUGAAAUUCGUAGAUAUCGGGAGGAACACCAGUGGCGAAGGCGGCGACCUGGACGGACACUGACGCUGAGGCGCGAAAGCGUGGGGAGCAAACAGG
RNAcentral lists this ribosomal RNA (253 nucleotides) under uncultured bacterium. RNAcentral describes it as "partial 16S ribosomal RNA". It matches the Rfam family "Bacterial small subunit ribosomal RNA", at positions 524 to 776 of the family's 1533-position model. The record is from RNAcentral.